RNAcentral lists this long non-coding RNA (634 nucleotides) under Struthio camelus australis. Its description in RNAcentral is "lncRNA (ENSSCUG00000013619.1)". Lineage: Eukaryota; Metazoa; Chordata; Aves; Struthioniformes; Struthionidae. The record is from RNAcentral.
AUGUUUAGACCGGAAACGCUUCUGCGUAUACAAAAGUGUGCUGAUGCUACAUUUCGGACUCGGCUAGGCAUUUUCUCUAGGAGAUGGAGAUGUGCCCAUUUUGGGCAGCUGUACAGACAGCACCACCACCUAUGUUUCAUCUGGGAAAGGUUGUUUCAAGUGCACUGAAGAAGAUGGAGUUAUGUCAGAUGAAGAAUUACUGAAUACUUGUGUGGUUCCUAACAGUCCAUCUGACCGAAGUGGAUUAGUACAACACCUCCGUUUGGAGACGUGCAGUUGCUCAGUAACCAGCAAUCUGGGACGAGACUCACUCUAAGCCGUCAUCAGUGGAGGACUUAAACAUGAACUGCUCUUGCAGAUCCUGAAGAGGACGUAAUUGGUCUUAGCCAACAAUUUAAGACAGUUAUGGAAUGAAGUUUUCAUACUGGUAAAGAGGACGUGGUAAAGAGGACAUGGUAAAGAGGUUCUAGUCCCCAAGAAGACUAUGUGCAAGGAUUUCUAAGGUUGUGGGGUAGUUAACUUCCUUUUGUUUCAGUUCAGAUUGAGCAACACAGGUCUUUCUUUAAAAAACAGAUGAUAACCUAACUGCUUUUUCCUAUUACAGUAAAGCAAAAUUGAGGUUAACCCAGACGCA